GCUCCAAUAACGUAUAUUAAAGUUGUUGCGGUAAAAAAGCUCGUAGUUGGAUUUCUGUUGAGGACGACCGGUCCAUACCACGUAUGCGUAUCUGGCUCGGCCUCGGCAUCCUCUCGAUGUACGUUUCUGCGCUUAAUUGCGUGGUGCGGACUCGGGACUUUACUUUGAGGAAUUGGAGUGUUCACGCAGGCCUCGCCAGA
This 200-nucleotide ribosomal RNA is filed under the name uncultured eukaryote. RNAcentral describes it as "partial 18S ribosomal RNA". The record is from RNAcentral.